GAAGGGACCUCGUCGAGGGCUGGGGGGAUUGGCACAAAAUGUCACAAGAAAGAAGAAGAAAGAAGCACCAUCACAGAGAACAUUUGGACACCACUACAGCAUCUGCACAGGGUCUGUUCCAACUGAGAGCCCAAACUGGAUUAGAUUUACCGUUGGACCGUUGACUUGUUUUUGGUCAUGCCGGAUUUAUCAAGGAAACAGGCUGGAUCCCCGCCAAGCCCACUCUCAGCUCUCUUCAAAAGGCCCUCUUGUUCUCCUUUCUCACCCUUCUACUGUACUUACACAAGUGUGUUUGAUCCUCAGCACCGCCUAGGAUAACCCAAACUACAUUUAUCAGCAGUGACACAGAAUCUAAACACACAACGUUUCAUAUUAAACCCCUCAGCUUUCACUUUCUCCCCCCCCCCCCCCCCGACUCCUAUCUCUCUCUGCCUCUUCCUGUCCCUCUCUUUAGUCUUGGCAUAGCCGGCAGGAUCAGAUGACACAGGCAGACUCCUCACUGGCCGCAGCAUUGUGUAACCACCAGCCAGUGCUGUUGUUUAUCGUCCUGGACUGUCGGGGGAGACGUCCUGUCCUGUGCCGGAUCUGCACAAAACAGCCAAGAUAAAGAGCGCCGUGCCUUUGAUAAAUAUUAAGAAACAAAAACGACAAUUAGGGCCAAAUCCGAAUAGAGCAAAAGACGUGAAAAUGCAACAACGGCAGGGUGUGUCUCUUCUCUCUCUCUCUCUCACCGGCCCCCGUGUGUGAAUAAGCGUACAGGCAAAGUGUUUCAUGGUCAGAGGAGGUGUAGAGGGAUUAGUGUGCAAGAUGGAUAGUGAACGUGUUGGGCUGAGAAGCGCUGAGAGUGUAAAGCAGAUGUUUGAACAUGAUAGGGGGGGGUUAAAUGAAGAAUAACAGCAUGGUGAGAGAGAGAGUGGACUGAUCCGCAGAGGAGAGUCAAACCUACAGAAACCUCUGCUGUAAUUUCACAUGCUCGAUGGUCAAAAAUAGCUUUGAUAGAAAAAUAGAAGGCUACACAGAAACAAUGUUAUUCCAGACAAGCAAAGAUUUGUUGACAUUUCCGAUUAUUUCUUAGAAAUAGAACCGAGACCGGUAGAAAGCGGCACCCUCUACUAUUGCUCAGAAUGUUUUAAAGGCACAAAGAGCCACCCACUCGCAGAAGCAUGUCCAUGAGAUACAUGAAUACGUGGUUGUGUUUACUACGGCACAGGACAUUUUAUUCUCUACUCUCGAGCCACGCCCCGGAAGAGCUCAGGCAGAGCUGCACCACAUCGCCAGCCUCCCUGCUUUCACUCCCCUCGUUCCCUUUUGUUUACAGGAGGCAGCUGAAGGGAUAGCGCCUGACAUCAGACCAGUCUCACUCAUCCUAUCUAUGUUUCCUUAGGUUCACCGUGACCACGGCCACACCGUUCCACCAGUGGCGGAUGACGGCAUGAGAGCUCUUAGCCAGACUAAAGCAACAAAACAGUCAAUGUUAAACACGACAAUGUUGCCUGUAAACAAAUUGCCAUUGUGACUGUUUAAAAUAUUUGGGCUCAGAUAAACAAACCGGAGUUGUGUGAAAAUUCCCACCGGCUGCAGGAAGCCUCAGACCUGCCCUGUUAAAAUAAAAAACUGUUGCCAGUGGCAACAGCACAGAGACACAGUAGAUCACGAUGACACUGCUGUCACCGUGGACACGAUAAACAUCACGGAGUGUCUUCAGCGACCAUUAAGACAAAGCAACUUUGGGGUUUCUGAUGUUGUCGGCCGGGUUAAAAACAUUGCAGUUAAAAUCAUGGUUGUUUUCAUGCAUUCCCCUCAGUCUGCAGGCUGAUACAAGCCACUGCAGGAAGAGCAAAUUUAACAAAGUAUUCUUCUUUAGAAAGACAUUUCGAAGAUGCAACUUUUUCACCUGACCGCAGCAGAGUCUUUUUCAUUAUUUUUUUUCUCAACAUUAUUAUUCUUAAUGUUAAGUCUUUACUGUAACGCCUUCAAGUCCCUGACGCAGGCCUCUUGCAGAAACUGCGGCGGUGCAAAUAUUUGAUCAGGUUUUCCUUAAUUAUACACAAAUGUCUAUUGCUGUACAUAUGUGUUUCUAAUUCAAACGGGCUCCUUCCGUUAAGCAUGACACCGUAAACAAGGCACUGAAACAUUGAGCAGACCUCUGUGACCCACAUUAUGCCAGAUCAUGUGAAUACACUUUUUAAAAUAAGGACUGUGAUGCUAGUUUGUCUUUGUUAUGCCCCCCCCCGGUAACAUAUGGCAACAACCUGAACAGAAACGGCCCCUUUGUUUCUACAGUCCCACAAAAAGACACAACUUCAUCAAACGACUUGUUGGGAGUUGAAAACGUUAAUCUCUGUGUGUGCUGAUUGUACUUUAAACGUGUAUGUUGUGACAGUGAAGGAAUAUAGGUCAAACUUUAUACAUAUCUGUAUUAGGGGAAAAUAAAGGCUUGGCCUGGUGUACUAAUGUUGCACUAACGUCAGCUUAGUUUCUGUAGCCAGGCAGUGGUUCAAGCUGUAGCUGUGUCUCAGCAGCACGACUGAGCCUGGAUCCUGUAUCCUGCACCAACAUGACGCCCAGUCUGCUUCAAUACACAGCCAGGGGCCCACUGCUGAUUCAGGAUCUCUCUCUCUCUCUCUCUCUCUCUCUCUCUCUCCAAUGAGACUGUACGAACACACACAACAACCUUUGACUACUUGAAUCAACUCUCACCAGAAUGGCAUCAAGAAGAAAAACAUUUUGAAAAAGAUGCAGAGAGAUGCAGAUCUGACAGCGACACAGACACGCCUGGAAGGAGUUUCCCUCCAACUGAACCUAAUCAAUGUCAUGUUGCUAAUUAGAGGAAUGGAAAGAAACUGUGUAGUUAGCAUUACUGAUGGAAAGCUGUGUGAGAUUUAUAGUUCUGUCUCGUCUUGUGCGUUUGUCAUUAAAAUGCUUAAAUGAUUAAAUUGGUCUUAGCACGGUCAGGCCGACCUGAAAACAACAGUGUUUUUGUUCCCUCGCUAAUCUUUCUCUGUGUUGUGAGUCCAUCGUGAAAACUUUUCUUUUUUUUUUGCAGGCAUGCUCUGUGUGAUGUUGUGUUGUUUUCCUUCACCUGUACGUGACACUAAAAAUGCAGACAGGACUUUGAACUGAAAGGUACUGGAAUAAAAAUGCUUGAUUGUGUGUCUAUUUGAAAGUC
Molecule: long non-coding RNA, 3169 nt
Organism: Anarrhichthys ocellatus (wolf-eel)
Lineage: Eukaryota; Metazoa; Chordata; Actinopteri; Perciformes; Anarhichadidae
Exons: 2
Source: RefSeq, a predicted model, not a curated record